UUUCGCAAUGCCCGAAAGGGUGACGAAGCGACGCCGCGUGCGGGAAGAAGGCCUUCGGGUUGUAAACCACUGUCGGGAGUUAAGAAAGGUGUACGGGUAAAUAGUCCGUGCAUUUGACAAAAGCUCCGGAGGAAGCCACGGCUAACUCUGUGCCAGCAGCCGCGGUAAUACAGAGGUGGCAAGCGUUGUUCGGAAUUAUUGGGCGUAAAGAGCACGUAGGCGGCCCUGCAAGUCAGCUGUGAAAGCCUCCUGCUUAACGGGAGAAGUGCAGUUGAAACUACGGGGCUAGAGUGCGGAAGGGGAGAGUGGGACUUCUGGUGGAGCGGUGAAAUGCGUAGAUAUCAGAAGGAACACCGGCGGCGAAAGCGGCUCUCUGGUCCGUAACUGACGCUGAGGUGCGAAAGCCAGGGGAGCAAACGGGAUUAGAUACCCCGGUAGUCCUGGCCGUAAACGAUGGGCACUAAGUAGAGGGGUUUU
Molecule: ribosomal RNA, 477 nt
Filed under: uncultured Planctomycetales bacterium
Lineage: Bacteria; Pseudomonadati; Planctomycetota; Planctomycetia; Planctomycetales
Description: bacterial SSU rRNA
Rfam family: Bacterial small subunit ribosomal RNA
Source: RNAcentral